Molecule: ribosomal RNA, 899 nt
Filed under: Phlebia sp.
Lineage: Eukaryota; Fungi; Basidiomycota; Agaricomycetes; Polyporales; Meruliaceae
Description: partial large subunit ribosomal RNA
Rfam family: Eukaryotic large subunit ribosomal RNA
Source: RNAcentral
AUCGGAAGGAGGAAGUAGGGAGGAUUCCCCUAGUAACUGCGAGUGAAGCGGGAAAAGCUCAAAUUUAAAAUCUGGCAGUCUUUGGCUGUCCGAGUUGUAGUCUGGAGAAGCGUCUUCCGCGCUGGACCGUGUACAAGUCUCCUGGAACGGAGCGUCAUAGAGGGUGAGAAUCCCGUCUUUGACACGGACUACCAGUGCUUUGUGAUGCGCUCUCAAAGAGUCGAGUUGUUUGGGAAUGCAGCUCAAAAUGGGUGGUGAACUCCAUCUAAAGCUAAAUAUUGGCGAGAGACCGAUAGCGAACAAGUACCGUGAGGGAAAGAUGAAAAGCACUUUGGAAAGAGAGUUAAACAGUACGUGAAAUUGCUGAAAGGGAAACGCUUGAAGUCAGUCGCGUUUGCUAGAACUCAGCCUGGCUUUUGCUUGGUGCAUUUUCUAGUAAACGGGCCAGCAUCACUUUUGGUUGCGGGAUAAAGGUCGCAGGAAUGUGGCACCUUCGGGUGUGUUAUAGCCUGUGAUUGCAUACCGUGGCCGGGAGUGAGGAACUCAGCACGCAUUUGUUGUGCUUAGGAUGCUGGCGUAAUGGCUUUAAACGACCCGUCUUGAAACACGGACCAAGGAGUCUAACAUGCCUGCGAGUGUUUGGGUGGUAAACCCGAGCGCGUAAUGAAAGUGAAAGUUGGGACCUCUGUCGUGGAGGGCACCGACGCCCGGACCAGACCUUCUGUGACGGAUCCGCGGUAGAGCAUGUAUGUUGGGACCCGAAAGAUGGUGAACUAUGCCUGAAUAGGGUGAAGCCAGAGGAAACUCUGGUGGAGGCUCGUAGCGAUUCUGACGUGCAAAUCGAUCGUCAAAUUUGGGUAUAGGGGCGAAAGACUAAUCGAACCAUCUAGUAGCUGGUU